CAGUCGCCGCGGUAAAACGAAGGGGGCUAGCGUUGUUCGGAAUUACUGGGCGUAAAGCGCACGUAGGCGGAUAUUUAAGUCAGGGGUGAAAUCCCGCAGCUCAACUGCGGAACUGCCUUUGAUACUGGGUAUCUUGAGUACGGAAGAGGUUAGUGGAAUUGCGAGUGUAGAGGUGAAAUUCGUAGAUAUUCGCAGGAACACCAGUGGCGAAGGCGGCUAACUGGUCCAUAACUGACGCUGAGGUGCGAAAGCGUGGGGAGCAAACAGGAUUAGAUACCCGUGUAGUCCCUGUCUCUUAUAC
RNAcentral lists this ribosomal RNA (301 nucleotides) under uncultured bacterium. RNAcentral's name for it is "partial 16S ribosomal RNA". It matches the Rfam family "Bacterial small subunit ribosomal RNA", at positions 509 to 807 of the family's 1533-position model. The record is from RNAcentral.